UUCGUCCGUCCCGUGGACGCCCUGAACAUCGGGGCGCGGUCCCGGAUACCCUGACGGCGUGCGCCCUGCCGGGAAGCACGCACCAGGAGCUUCCCGGGCAGCCGCAAAGCCGACAGCCGUCGCAUCCAGAGGGAGCCCCUUCCAUG
Molecule: small RNA, 146 nt
Filed under: Streptomyces toyocaensis
Lineage: Bacteria; Bacillati; Actinomycetota; Actinomycetes; Kitasatosporales; Streptomycetaceae
Description: Streptomyces-metH RNA
Rfam family: Streptomyces-metH RNA
Source: Rfam by way of RNAcentral